Melospiza melodia melodia is the source of this 648-nucleotide long non-coding RNA. RefSeq lists it as uncharacterized. The transcript has 4 exons. NCBI's taxonomy places the organism in Eukaryota, Metazoa, Chordata, Aves, Passeriformes, Passerellidae. The record is from RefSeq and is a predicted model, not a curated record.
GACUUCUCCUUCCUGGGUCUCCAUCCCGGGGAGCGAGCACAUAGCAGCCCGCCCAAAACCUUCUCUUUUGGGAAACAGCUGGAAAAAGGACCGGGAAGGCAACAGGGACCGCCUUAGCCGGCAAGGGAAGGCACACAGCCGGCGCACAGACCCGCAGCGAGCCUGCACAGCUUUCCCGGCUUUUGGCUUGUCCCUGCUGUGUCUUCUGCGAUCACAGGCCUCUUCACUCAGCUUAACACUGAGAGCUUCAGGGGGUCUCUUGCAUUGGCAACAGCUGCUGAUCCCAAGUGUUAAACCAUCUGUUUUGAACCUCCACUAAGCCACUAAGGUAGUUCUGCAGACCACUUUGGAGCAUGGGAUGUCAUGUCCUGUUCUUCUCUAUGCAAGGCAUGGCUUAGGUCCAUUCCUGCAAGCUUCCCUGGGCCUCAGCUCAGAAAAAUAUGUGUUGUAGGAUGAACUCUUACAUGGAACACUGGCAGGACCCAGAGCUCUUCAGCAUUUUGUCACCUCUGCAGAAAGGUACAACACUGGUAAAGCAGCCAUCUAGAUUACAGUGAAACAGCUGCCACAUUCUCCUUAUUGAGGGUGCAUCACAGAAUGGGCUGUUUCUUCUGAGAGGACAACACAGCCUCCAGUUUGGCAGGUAAA